AACGCACGAGACCUGCGGACCUGCGGAAGGAUCAUUAGUGAACGCCCUCACGGGCUUAUAACUAUUCCAAACCUCUGUGAACCGUGCCCUUCGGGGCUAUUUUACGAACAUGGUGUAAUGAACGUCAUAUAUCAUAACAAAACAAAACUUUCAACAAUGGAUCUCU
Molecule: unclassified non-coding RNA, 166 nt
Filed under: soil metagenome
Description: partial contains 5.8S ribosomal RNA, internal transcribed spacer 2, and large subunit ribosomal RNA
Source: RNAcentral